GAGAGUUUGAUCCUGGCUCAGGAUGAACGCUAGCUACAGGCUUAACACAUGCAAGUCGAGGGGCAGCAUGGUCUUAGCUUGCUAAGGCCGAUGGCGACCGGCGCACGGGUGAGUAACACGUAUCCAACCUGCCGUCUACUCUUGGACAGCCUUCUGAAAGGAAGAUUAAUACAAGAUGGCAUCAUGAGUCCGCAUGUUCACAUGAUUAAAGGUAUUCCGGUAGACGAUGGGGAUGCGUUCCAUUAGAUAGUAGGCGGGGUAACGGCCCACCUAGUCUUCGAUGGAUAGGGGUUCUGAGAGGAAGGUCCCCCACAUUGGAACUGAGACACGGUCCAAACUCCUACGGGAGGCAGCAGUGAGGAAUAUUGGUCAAUGGGCGAGAGCCUGAACCAGCCAAGUAGCGUGAAGGAUGACUGCCCUAUGGGUUGUAAACUUCUUUUAUAAAGGAAUAAAGUCGGGUAUGGAUACCCGUUUGCAUGUACUUUAUGAAUAAGGAUCGGCUAACUCCGUGCCAGCAGCCGCGGUAAUACGGAGGAUCCGAGCGUUAUCCGGAUUUAUUGGGUUUAAAGGGAGCGUAGAUGGAUGUUUAAGUCAGUUGUGAAAGUUUGCGGCUCAACCGUAAAAUUGCAGUUGAUACUGGAUAUCUUGAGUGCAGUUGAGGCAGGCGGAAUUCGUGGUGUAGCGGUGAAAUGCUUAGAUAUCACGAAGAACUCCAAUUGCGAAGGCAGCCUGCUAAGCUGCAACUGACAUUGAGGCUCGAAAGUGUGGGUAUCAAACAGGAUUAGAUACCCUGAUAGUCCACACGGUAAACGAUGAAUACUCGCUGUUUGCGAUAUACUGCAAGCGGCCAAGCGAAAGCGUUAAGUAUUCCACCUGGGGAGUACGCCGGCAACGGUGAAACUCAAAGGAAUUGACGGGGGCCCGCACAAGCGGAGGAACAUGUGGUUUAAUUCGAUGAUACGCGAGGAACCUUACCCGGGCUUAAAUUGCAGAUGAAUUACGGUGAAAGCCGUAAGCCGCAAGGCAUCUGUGAAGGUGCUGCAUGGUUGUCGUCAGCUCGUGCCGUGAGGUGUCGGCUUAAGUGCCAUAACGAGCGCAACCCUUGUUGUCAGUUACUAACAGGUUCUGCUGAGGACUCUGACAAGACUGCCAUCGUAAGAUGUGAGGAAGGUGGGGAUGACGUCAAAUCAGCACGGCCCUUACGUCCGGGGCUACACACGUGUUACAAUGGGGGGUACAGAGGGCCGCUACCACGCGAGUGGAUGCCAAUCCCAAAAACCUCUCUCAGUUCGGACUGGAGUCUGCAACCCGACUCCACGAAGCUGGAUUCGCUAGUAAUCGCGCAUCAGCCACGGCGCGGUGAAUACGUUCCCGGGCCUUGUACACACCGCCCGUCAAGCCAUGGGAGCCGGGGGUACCUGAAGUGCGUAACCGCGAGGAGCGCCCUAGGGUAAAACUGGUGACUGGGGCUAAGUCGUAACAAGGUAGCCG
RNAcentral lists this ribosomal RNA (1491 nucleotides) under uncultured bacterium. Its description in RNAcentral is "bacterial SSU rRNA". It matches the Rfam family "Bacterial small subunit ribosomal RNA". The record is from RNAcentral.